Molecule: long non-coding RNA, 204 nt
Organism: Girardinichthys multiradiatus
Lineage: Eukaryota; Metazoa; Chordata; Actinopteri; Cyprinodontiformes; Goodeidae
Exons: 2
Source: RefSeq, a predicted model, not a curated record
CUGGACCAAAUCAGUAAGGAAACAACAAAUCAAAGUUCUGAUCUGUGGAAAGGAUCAGUUAUCAAAGUGACCAGGCUUACCAAACUUACCAGACCUGGAAUAACUCCCCUCCGGUGGACCAGCACCUGCAACAAACUCCGAGAGGUUCCAGUCCCAGAUCCCACCUCCAUCGGACCUGUGAACAAAUAAACACGUCAAACUUCA